UGAGGGUGAAGGUGAGGGAGUGAGGGUUUGGUGGUCUUUUCGGAACUGUUACUGGGAUGGUCAGAUGGGGGAGAGGGAGACAGACAUGAGAGUGUGGUGUGAGGGUGUGGGAUUUACAAUUUAGCCUAGGUAGUGUACUACCUUUUUAAAAAAUAUAUUUUUAAACUAUUUUUUUAUUUUUAUUUUUUCGUUUUGGACUGAACUUUUGAGUUUUUGGCGUUUGAAUCAAUUGGGCGUUUUUCCCUAGGCUUGGGCCAACCUAAAGUAGCCCACCUUUUUA
Molecule: long non-coding RNA, 280 nt
Filed under: Gossypium raimondii (Peruvian cotton)
Lineage: Eukaryota; Viridiplantae; Streptophyta; Magnoliopsida; Malvales; Malvaceae
Description: long non-coding RNA (GRAI_LNC002874)
Source: RNAcentral